CUCUCUUUUUCUUUCUCCUUUCUUCUUCUUCUUCCCUUUGCUUUUUCAUUCCUUUGAGCGCCCAGCCGCGUCGCUUCUCCUUCGUCGCCCACUGCCACCGUCGACUCCUCCUCUCGGUGGUGCUAGCCUCGGCGUUUUCUCCUCUUCUUCUCUCCUCUUUUUUCUCUUCUUUCCCUUAUCUUCUCAUAUCUUCUCCCUUUGGCUUUCUCUUUUUCUUCUCUUCCCCCUUUCUUUUCUUUCUCUUUCGAAAGCCCGGAAACUAGAGGCAACGCCGCCUCUCCAAACCGCCGUUCGCCACUCGAUCCUCUUCCGCCUUAAGUGAUCGUGAUAAAGGUGGCAGCAGAGAAGGGAAGCAAGGCCGAUUGGAGGUGUCAGGCGUGGAAGGCGUUGCACGCAAGAACGCAGAUUGAGGGCCGUCUUGUCAUGCCAGAAGGACCAAAAUGUAACGCGCGCAAAGUUUCUGGGGCAAAAAUGUAAUUUUAGGAAAAUAUAGGGCUCAAAGUGUAAUUUUGAGAAAGUUUAGGGGUUGAAAUGUAAUUUAGAAAAGUUUAGGGGUUGAAAUGUAAUUUAGAAAAGUUCAGGGGCCAAAAUGUAAUUUAUAUUUUUUGUUUUGUUUUUUUUUCA
Molecule: long non-coding RNA, 624 nt
Organism: Gossypium raimondii (Peruvian cotton)
Lineage: Eukaryota; Viridiplantae; Streptophyta; Magnoliopsida; Malvales; Malvaceae
Exons: 2
Source: RefSeq, a predicted model, not a curated record